RNAcentral lists this ribosomal RNA (253 nucleotides) under uncultured bacterium. RNAcentral describes it as "partial 16S ribosomal RNA". It matches the Rfam family "Bacterial small subunit ribosomal RNA", at positions 524 to 776 of the family's 1533-position model. The record is from RNAcentral.
UACGAAGGGUGCAAGCGUUACUCGGAAUUACUGGGCGUAAAGCGUGCGUAGGUGGCGAGUUAAGUCUGAUGUGAAAUCCCCGGGCUCAACCUGGGAAUGGCAUUGGAUACUGGCUCGCUAGAGUGCGGUAGAGGGUGGUGGAAUUCCCGGUGUAGCAGUGAAAUGCGUAGAGAUCGGGAGGAACACCUGUGGCGAAGGCGGCCACCUGGACCAACACUGACACUGAGGAACGAAAGCGUGGGGAGCAAACAGG